GUUAGGAAUAUUGGACAAUGGGCGCAAGCCUGAUCCAGCCAUGCUGCGUGAGUGAUGAAGGCCUUCGGGUUGUAAAGCUCUUUAGUCCACGAAUAUAAUGACUGUAGUGGAAGAAUAAGCCCCGGCUAACUUCGUGCCAGCAGCCGCGGUAAUACGAAGGGGGCGAGCGUUAUUCGGAAUCACUGGGCGUAAAGCGUGCGUAGGCUGUUUUGUAAGUCAGAAGUGAAAGCCCAGGGCUUAACCCUGGAAUUGCUUUUGAAACUACAAGACUCGAAUUCGGGAGAGGAUAGCGGAAUUGUCAGUGUAGCAGUGAAAUGCGUAGAUAUUGACAGGAACACCAGUGGCGCAAGCGGCUAUCUGGACCGAUAUUGACGCUGAGGCACGAAAGCGUGGGGAGCAAACAGGAUUAGAUACCCUAGUAGUCC
RNAcentral lists this ribosomal RNA (425 nucleotides) under uncultured bacterium. RNAcentral's name for it is "partial 16S ribosomal RNA". It matches the Rfam family "Bacterial small subunit ribosomal RNA", at positions 354 to 796 of the family's 1533-position model. The record is from RNAcentral.